Molecule: ribosomal RNA, 62 nt
Filed under: uncultured organism
Description: partial 16S ribosomal RNA
Source: RNAcentral
UGGGCUUGACAUGCCCGUAAUCCUGCAGAGAUGCGGGAGUGCCCUUCGGGGAAUCCGAACAC